CCCUUUUGAACACCAGGCAGUUUGCAGGAAUUUCUGCAUGUGAGAGGUGGGAUUGUGAGCAGGGAGGGGCUGCCCUGCUCUCAAAACAUCUGCUCAGCCUCUGGUGGUUCUGGUUGUGAUGCCAAUGGGUCUCCACCUGCUGAAAUCUUCAUCCCAAAGCUCCCCCUGAUCCAGCAGGGUUAUCCUGUCCUAGCCCAGCACAUCCCCAUCCCUUUGGGGCUGCCUUGUACUCAGUUUUCGGACUAAAACCCCAACCUUCUCCCUUCCCUGGAGUGCCAGGCUGUGAUUCCUGCCCCUCUCCCUGCUCUGGCAAGGGAAGGGAAGGGAAGGGGGAGCCCAGCACUCGGGCUCAGCCAGCUUUGGGAGCUGGGAAGGGGAGUGGACUGAGCCCCUUGGGUGGGAAAGGGGAGAAGUGAGGGCAGGGCCCCUCUGCAGCCCUGGCUGGGCUGUUUGCAGGGUGCAGAGCCUUAUGUAAGUGUGCAGGGAGCACAGGACAUGUCCCAGCAGCGCCUGCUCGGGGCUGGGCUGGGGCUGCCUCUUAAAUCUUUACCUUAAGGGUGUUCAAAACCAACUUGUCUUUUCUUCUUCUUCUUUUUUUUUUCUUUCCCUUUUUUCUUUUAUUAUUGUUCUACCGCAGAGUGAGGCAUCGGGUUUAACUCCUCUGGCUCUGGCUGGGGGAUGGAAGGGGACAGCUGGGCUGGAAGGGCUCCCAGGGUGGUUGUGUUUGUGAUGGGAAGGGUAGGAGGGCUUUGGGAGCUGUCUGGGAAGUGCCAUGAUUCAUGGCUUAGUGCUUUUUUCAGUUUUGGAACAAUAUGCAGGAGCUGCUUCACUGCAGCUUGCCCUGCCCUGAGGUCCUGCAGCCAGGCAAACACAAGUUUUGAAGUCACAGAGCUUAAAUUUAUCAAAUUCUGGCCUCUCUCCAGCUGGGGUUGAGGUUUCCUAACAUUUCUGUGCUGUGGGAGCUAUGGGAAGGCCACAUCCUAAUUACCAGCCAAGCAGAGGGCUUUGGCAGGUCUGCUGUGGUACCAUGGGGUUUGGAGACCCCCAGUUUCAGGAGGUUUUGGCUCUGCCUCCCACCAUGGUGGAGCCAGCAGGGGGGUGGCCAGCAGCUGGGCAAGGGCAUUGCUGCCCUCCCUGCCCUGGCAGUGCCCUGGGAGUGCUCUGCAUGGCAGCAGAGGCUCUCUUAGGUACGUGGGUGCCAGGAGCAGUUUGCUCUGGGCAGCCAGAUUUGGUGCUGAGGAUCUCACCUGCUCUGGGUUGAACCCUGGCUGACACUUGCAUCUAAAAGUGGCCACGUAAUCCUCACCUGGGUAAAGGGGAACUCGGAUCAAAUCCCCUGAAUGCAGGGGGACAGAUCCAGCUGAGACUUUUGCUGUCUCUCCAUUCUUCACUGCAAACCAUUCCUGGCUUUUGUGUGCUCCUGCACCCCACAGUUUUGUUUGGGGUCACUUUGAUUAUUUAGCUUCAAUUUUAGCUUCAAUUAUUUUCAAGCUGGCAGAGUCUGCUUCUCCUUUUCCAGCUGGAAGCAGAAAAUUGGAAUGACUUUGAAAGCCAAGGCAAGCAGAGCAGCUCCCUCCCUCCACCUUUGUGCCACCAAACAUGGACUUGAGCUCUUUUGGGUGCUUACAAGCACCCUUGUAACCUUUGGGGACAAUGAUGUGGCUGACAAGUGCUCCUUAAAUCUGAGUAAUGCCAGGCAAGGAACUGGCACAGAGAGGGGCUCCAUGGACAAGUAACAAACCAAAAUAAAGCUGUUUCCUUUCUUUUUGAGAGCCCUUGGCAGGAAAGCAGACACAGAGGUGGAUGGAGCUCUGAAAGGGCUUUGGUCUCUAGGGGUGAGCCCGUGCCAUUGCUCCAGGUCCUUUAUCUGCUGGCACAGCCUCUCUGUGGAUUUAAGCCCUGGUGGCAGGCAGGUUAUCACUGGCCUUUGGUGGCACCACUGGCACAGCCCCUCUCAGGAGGGCUUUGUACUUUUAUUUUUGCAAAUAUUUUGCCAUGCCCUCAGUGCUCCCCUCAGGGCCAGACCCUGCGAGUGUCCCCACGUCCCCUCUUCCCCUCGGUGAUGAAACCCUACAGGUGCAGGGCUGGGAUCCACCUUCCCAGCCAAGAGCAAGGACACAAAAUCCCUCCUGUUUCCUGCAAAAUGUGGCUCUGGAGAAGGCUUUGUAGCUCCAAAGUUUCUCCUUUUUAUGUACCUUACUCCCCAAGGCUCUCCCUGCAUCCACCCCAGCCCAGCCCACCCCGCAAGCGCAGCCCCUCCUGUAGCUUUAGAGACAAGACUUGGGCGCUAUUCCACCAAGGAAUUCAGCUCUUUUUCUGUCCUUUCUGUAGGUUUUUAUCGUGGUGUGUGAGAUGAGUUGUUUACUGGAGCAGUUUCUGCACUGAGGUGGUGCUGCCCCUCAGGUGGGCCCUGGCCAAGCUGCCUGAGCCCGGCUGGAUCUGGCUGCCAAGCGUGUCCAACCCAAUUCUUUGGGAAAGAACUCAGCUUCCCCAGGCCUGAACUUUCCCAGCAGAUCCUGUUUCAGCCACCUAAACCCGUUAGAGCCAGAGGCAGGAUUGUUCUGGGGAGACUGAGGGCAAUUAGGAAAUUACCCUGCUCCCCCUCCCCUGCCCUGGGAUCCAUCAGCAUGAAGCCAAAUAUUUGCUUUCGGAUGGGUGGAUUUUGGAGCUGGCUCCACAUGAGAGCACAGGGGUGGAGGCUUGAAUUUUGGCCCUUUUGGGUAAUUGUUUUUGAAGCAGGACCUCCAAGCUUGCUGCCAUCACCCUGCUCAGCAGAUUCCAAAGCCAGGCCCUGUCACAGCUGGCAUUUGCUCCGUUGUUGAUGGAAAACAGUCUGCCCAUGGGUUUCUGGGGUGGGAAGCACCCUCUCUGUGUCUGUACACAUUAGAAAGACUCAAUAAAAGGCUGCAGCACCGUUGGUAGCUUUGCAAUCCUGUUUUAUUCUGCUGUGCUCCAGGCCCUGGAGCAGCAGGAGCUGUGUGUGGCUCUGAAAUUGGUGCUGGGAGGUGCCCAGGCCUGCUGGGCACCCUGGGCAGAGCAGCAGAGCCAGUGGUCCAAAAGCAGCUGCCCAAUUCAAUGCUGAAAUCAGAUCCUGACGUUUAAAAUUAUUACUUUGUUCUUUUCUUUUCGGUUUUUUUUUUUUGACAUCUGCUCUUUGUAAGUGAUUUAUAUAAUCCCUCAAAAUUUUGUAUCUGGAAGUAAAGUGAAUGUGUCUCUUAAAAGUAUGCCUAUCCUUUCAAAAUGUGAAAUUCUGAUUGUUGGAAUAAAAAAAAAUAAAAAGAAAGAAACCUACCCCAUAUUAGCACAUGUUUGUAAUUAAUGUUUUAUGAAUGUUGUUUAAAAGAUUUGUGUAGAAUAAACCAGUUUAAAAAGAAAA
Melospiza georgiana is the source of this 3376-nucleotide long non-coding RNA. RefSeq lists it as uncharacterized. The record is from RefSeq and is a predicted model, not a curated record. The transcript is spliced from 2 exons. Lineage: Eukaryota; Metazoa; Chordata; Aves; Passeriformes; Passerellidae.